CAGCCGCCGCGGUAAUACGGAGGGGGCUAGCGUUGUUCGGAAUUACUGGGCGUAAAGCGCACGUAGGCGGCUUGGUAAGUUAGAGGUGAAAGCCCGGAGCUCAACUCCGGAAUUGCCCUUAAGACUGCCGAGCUAGUAGGUGAGAGAGGUAAGUGGAAUUCCGAGUGUAGAGGUGAAAUUCGUAGAUAUUCGGAAGAACACCAGCGGCGAAGGCGGCUUACUGGCUCAUUCUAGACGCUGAGGUGCGAAAGCGUGGGGAGCAAACAGGAUUAGAUACCCCAGUAGUCCCUGUCUCUUAUAC
RNAcentral lists this ribosomal RNA (301 nucleotides) under uncultured bacterium. Its description in RNAcentral is "partial 16S ribosomal RNA". It matches the Rfam family "Bacterial small subunit ribosomal RNA", at positions 509 to 807 of the family's 1533-position model. The record is from RNAcentral.